GGAUAGGUGUCCGAGUGGUCGAAGGAGCACGACUGGAAAUCGUGUGUACGGCGAACAAGCCGUACCGUGGGUUCGAAUCCCACCCUAUCCG
This 91-nucleotide transfer RNA is filed under the name Hydrogenibacillus schlegelii. RNAcentral's name for it is "Bacillus schlegelii tRNA". It matches the Rfam family "tRNA". From Rfam's summary of the family: Transfer RNA (tRNA) molecules are approximately 80 nucleotides in length. Their secondary structure includes four short double-helical elements and three loops (D, anti-codon, and T loops). Further hydrogen bonds mediate the characteristic L-shaped molecular structure. tRNAs have two regions of fundamental functional importance: the anti-codon, which is responsible for specific mRNA codon recognition, and the 3' end, to which the tRNAs corresponding amino acid is attached (by aminoacyl-tRNA synthetases). tRNAs cope with the degeneracy of the genetic code in two manners: having more than one tRNA (with a specific anti-codon) for a particular amino acid; and 'wobble' base-pairing, i.e. permitting non-standard base-pairing at the 3rd anti-codon position. The record is from Rfam by way of RNAcentral. Lineage: Bacteria; Bacillati; Bacillota; Bacilli; Thermicanales; Thermicanaceae.